Drosophila melanogaster (fruit fly) is the source of this 23-nucleotide non-coding RNA. NCBI's taxonomy places the organism in Eukaryota, Metazoa, Arthropoda, Insecta, Diptera, Drosophilidae. The record is from Ensembl.
CGGCACAUGUUGAAGUACACUCA